Molecule: ribosomal RNA, 253 nt
Filed under: uncultured bacterium
Lineage: Bacteria
Description: partial 16S ribosomal RNA
Rfam family: Bacterial small subunit ribosomal RNA
Source: RNAcentral
UACCCGCAGCACAAGUGGUGGUCAUUAUGAUUGGGCGUAAAGCGUCCGCAGGUGGCUAUGUAAGUCUGCUGUUAAAGAGUGAGGCUCAACCUCAUAAGAGCAGUGGAAACUACAUGGCUAGAGUGCGUUCGGGGCAGAGGGAAUUCCUGGUGUAGCGGUGAAAUGCGUAGAGAUCAGGAAGAACACCGGUGGCGAAAGCGCUCUGCUAGGCCGCAACUGACACUGAGGGACGAAAGCUAGGGGAGCGAAUGGG